This 1928-nucleotide long non-coding RNA is filed under the name Setaria italica (foxtail millet). Its description in RNAcentral is "long non-coding RNA (SITA_LNC007188)". Lineage: Eukaryota; Viridiplantae; Streptophyta; Magnoliopsida; Poales; Poaceae. The record is from RNAcentral.
UUCAAGAAAGAACAGACGAUGAGACAAUGCACAUCAACCGGCAAGACAGCAACAACCAACAGGCCAAACAGUCUAGCACACCAGAAAUGCGCUCCACAGGUGCCCUCUUAUUUCACUUAUAUCAGUCGGACGCUCUCAAAAGCGACACGUAACACAGAUUCAGGAGAAACAGCGUUCACCAACACAUGUUCAGUUCAUCGGCAGGUGCUACAACCUUUUUUGGCUUAAUUGAAAUUCUUUUUGUGCUUUCUUCUUCUUCUUCUUCUUGUUUUUUUUUUUAAAAUGCAGCAGCCCGUCGCGCUGUCCAUAUUUCGACCGAUCCGGCGCGAUUCCUUGUUUGCUGUGAACCUGACUUGCUGCAAUGCGAUGUAGGGAGUGUUUGGUUCCUGCCAACGCUUGCCACGCCACAAAAUUCGGCUUUGACGUUUAGCGUGGCAGACUCUGGCUGGAGAGCAAGCAGGCCCGUCAACGUCGCCAGCGACCUCUACGUUUGCCCGUCAAUCUCCGCAGACUGCAGCAACAAGCUUAUCUACUGAGCGAAAGCGAGCACCCCCUCCUGGCUCCCGUUCAUAAGGCACGCCGAGAUCGCCGCCGGCCAUGCUUCGACGACGAUGACAGUGGGAGAAGAUGCCAACGGCGCGGUACGCAGGUAACCAUGCGCACGCCGGCAAACCCGGUGCCACCACUGGCACGGACCAGCUUCAAGAAAGAACAGACGAUGAGACAAUGCACAUCAACCGGCAAGACAGCAACAACCAACAGGCCAAACAGUCUAGCACACCAGAAAUGCGCUCCACAGGUGCCCUCUUAUUUCACUUAUAUCAGUCGGACGCUCUCAAAAGCGACACGUAACACAGAUUCAGGAGAAACAGCGUUCACCAACACAUGUUCAGUUCAUCGGCAGGUGCUACAAGUGCGAACGGCAAACACGCUGAUCAUAGAUGGAUCGGGUGCUCUUAUUUCACAUGUCCAAGGAUGUUCAGACUGGUGUGGUGGUGACAAGGCAGGAGGCGACGCUUUCAGCACUCAAGUCCAGCGACCACUUUCAGCUUCAGCCCUGGAGUCCAAUGAUCCCUGGAAAUGAUAAUACAAUGCAAUGAGAAAUCCAUAUAGUAUAACAAGGAGCAUUUGGUAUUUGUUAUUAUACAGAAAAUGAUGCUUGUUUGGAGGAAGGAAUGGGGCUGGCCAGCUGGGGAAACAGUGAACAUACCACAGGCAAUGCGGCCACCAGCGUUUCCAGUGCUCUUGCUCAGCUCGUGCCCACCUGAACAUACAAACACAAAAACCAACAAUUAUUAAACUCCAUUUAAUGGCACUGGAUAAAACCCACAAACAGAGGCAUCGGUUUGGCAAUCAAAGACAAACAGGCAACACAAUCUGACAAAGUGCACAGACAAGAUGUUUAAAUGAACAAAUGUGCAUAGAUCAGUGACAAGCACCAUACCGCAAGCAAGAUUUCACAAGCAUAAUAUACAAACUUGAAACUCCAGACAAGGUCAAUAGAUCACAGGACAGCCAAAUAGACAACUCAGGUAAGGCACUAUAACCUACUUCCAACUUAUUUGAAGUUCAAAUUCCUUCCUGACAGAGAGAUGCCAAAAGCACUGGGGUUUUCAGGGAAAUCGCAGGACAGUACAAGCAUAGCCAUACCUCAAUUUUUUUUCCUCUGGCGUUUAAUAAUCAGAUAGUUAGGACACUAUUACAUUGUCUUGCUCAUGUCAUCUAUAAAUAGAAAUCUAUACUGAUCUUUCAUAAGUCUAUCUGAACUAAGAACCACUGUGUGCUAAUAGACAGAACCUUAGCUCAAAACAGACUACAACACACAAAAGGCACAAGUGUAAACGAUAAGUAGCAGCAUUACCCUUUCCAAGAUCAUCAGGAUCAGCGUGAACAACAACAGCUCUGCCAAUGAUCGAGUUCGGCCCAGU